AUGUCACGGUCACAGCACCCGUCGUUCCCAUUGGCUCUUUCACCAACAGCUCGGAGUCGACGGUUUUUCUGUGACAGCAUUUAUCGCACGGAGUUUCUGGGCAUCCUCAUUAUCUUUUCAAUACAGAUUGAAUUAUUGGGGAUUCAAACGGCAGAGGAAAAAGUCAAAGCAUAUAAGAAAGUGGAAGUUAAGAGAGGAAGUGGAACAGGAAGGAGUAAGGGGCAAUUCAAUGCUGUGCUACCUCAUUGGCCCGUAUGGGAUAUCAUGCAAGGCCACAGGCAAAUUUACCAUGCAGAAUUAAUGUCACCAGCCAGGUUCCUACGCUAUGUGGAACACCCAGGACCAGAAGAAUGUAAAAUUGCAAAAGCUGGUGGCUCCUGCCUCCAAGAGUUCCUGGUUUUCCUGGACACAAACGAUAGCGCAGCACUUUCUUCCCCAUGUGCCAGAGGCCUGGGGUUCUGCAGAAGAGGCCCGGAGGACCCAGACACUGCAAGGCCUGCGCUCAGUAUAUUCUGGGCCCUGUCCUCUCACUUUCUAUUUCUUGUGUGGCCCCCAUACUCAUGUCAGCUAUCCUGGAACAGUCCAGAGUUCAAUUGUGACCUGCUUCCUCCCUCAACCUCUUCUCCCCAACCUCCACACCACACUUCUUCUUUGGGAAGAUUUGUAAAAAUUAAAGUUAUUAUAUCCAUGUAA
RNAcentral lists this long non-coding RNA (693 nucleotides) under Piliocolobus tephrosceles (Ugandan red Colobus). RNAcentral's name for it is "lncRNA (ENSPTEG00000020564.1)". The record is from RNAcentral. Lineage: Eukaryota; Metazoa; Chordata; Mammalia; Primates; Cercopithecidae.